UCAGAACUUAUUAUCACUUAUCAUCACAAAUUAACCAAGAGAAAGGGGUAUAAGAAUUAAGAUAUUGAUCUAAAUUAGCUAAUACAUAUGUAUCGGGUCCGGCACGGGUUACCCAUGGGUAAAAAAUAUAACCCAGUUGUUACCCACGACGUCUUUGGAUCUUGGACGGACGUGUCCACAGGUAAGAAAUCACACCGACACUCGUGCCCAUCGAAUUGAGUAUCCGAUACCCGGACCUGUGAGUAAAAUUGCCGUUAUCCGCCGCUUAAUCGGAAAGGUGACGUCACUAUGUUUAAGUGAUGGGAGGGGAAUGAGCUUCUACCUGGAGUGGGUCCCACGCUCCAACCAUCGCCCCCGGUUUUCUUCACCCUCCCUGACCGAGCCCUCCCUCCACCCUCUCCGGCCGCUCCCUCUCGCCGGCGACAGAUCGAGCGUCCACGGCGGCGGCGGCGCGACGGCAGAACUCGGGAACGGCGGCUCCGUCGCCGGCAGCACCUUUGCGCACUCGAUCAGACGGCCGAUCGUUGAAAAACAAAUGAUAAACUGGUCGGACCGGUUUGGCCCGGUUUUCAUAAAAAAACCGCCUGGUCCUCUCUCUCCAGCCACCACUGAACAUGCUACCCCACAUAAAACCCCUCACAGACCAUCCCCUUCUCCGCC
RNAcentral lists this long non-coding RNA (660 nucleotides) under Oryza sativa (Asian cultivated rice). RNAcentral's name for it is "long non-coding RNA (OSAT_LNC000867)". Lineage: Eukaryota; Viridiplantae; Streptophyta; Magnoliopsida; Poales; Poaceae. The record is from RNAcentral.